Molecule: ribosomal RNA, 828 nt
Filed under: uncultured bacterium
Lineage: Bacteria
Description: bacterial SSU rRNA
Rfam family: Bacterial small subunit ribosomal RNA
Source: RNAcentral
ACGCUGGCGGUGCGCCUUAUGCAUGCAAGUCGAGCGAAGCUUUUCAGUAGUUUACUACAGAAAAUGACUGAGCGGCGAACGGGUGAGUAACGCGUGAGCAACCUACCUUAGUUACUGGGAUAGCCCGAGGAAACUCGGAUUAAUACCGGAUAUUCUUAUUUAAUCACAUGAUUUUUUAAGGAAAGGUCAGCCGAACUAAGAUGGGCUCGCGUUCUAUCAGCUAGUUGGUAGGGUAAUGGCCUACCAAGGCUACGACGGAUAGCUGGUCUGAGAGGACGAUCAGCCACACUGGGACUGAGACACGGCCCAGACUCCUACGGGAGGCUGCAGCAGGGAAUAUUGCGCAAUGAGCGAAAGCUUGACGCAGCGACACCGCGUGUGGGAUGACGGAUCUAGGUUUGUAAACCACUUUCAGGAGGGAAGAAAAUGACGGUACCUCCACAAGAAGCCCCGGCCAACUACGUGCCAGCAGCCGCGGUAAUACGUAGGGGGCGAGCGUUGUCCGGAUUUAUUGGGCGUAAAGAGCUCGUAGGCGGUUCAACAAGUCGGUCGUGAAAGUUCAGGGCUCAACCCUGAAAUGUCGAUCGAUACUGUUGUGACUAGGAUACGGUAGAGGUGAGUGGAAUUCCGAGUGUAGCGGUGAAAUGCGUAGAUAUUCGGAGGAACACCAAUUGCGAAGGCAGCUCACUGGGCCGCUAUCGACGCUGAGGAGCGAAAGCUAGGGGAGCAAACAGGAUUAGAUACCCUGGUAGUCCUAGCUGUAAACGAUGGAUACUAGACGUAGGAAUUGGAUUAACGAUUUCUGUGUCGUAGCUAACGCGUUAAGUA